Exophiala oligosperma is the source of this 123-nucleotide non-coding RNA. NCBI's taxonomy places the organism in Eukaryota, Fungi, Ascomycota, Eurotiomycetes, Chaetothyriales, Herpotrichiellaceae. The record is from the annotation of a RefSeq genome assembly.
GGGGACUUGGCGCAGUGGUAGCGUAUAUCCAACUAAUCUCUCUUGCGACCUCCUCAAAGUAAGGCUUUAAGGAGGUGCGAGGGAGCGAGGGUAAGGUCCUAGGUUCGAAUCCUAGAGUCCCCA